GUGAACGCUGGCGGUAGGCCUAACACAUGCAAGUCGAACGGCAGCACCGUAAGAGCUUGCUCUUACGGGUGGCGAGUGGCGGACGGGUGAGGAAUACAUCGGAAUCUACUUUUUCGUGGGGGAUAACGUGGGGAAACUUACGCUAAUACCGCAUACGACCUACGGGUGAAAGCAGGGGAUCUUCGGACCUUGCGCGAUUGAAUGAGCCGAUGUCGGAUUAGCUAGUUGGCGGGGUAAAGGCCCACCAAGGCGACGAUCCGUAGCUGGUCUGAGAGGAUGAUCAGCCACACUGGAACUGAGACACGGUCCAGACUCCUACGGGAGGCAGCAGUGGGGAAUAUUGGACAAUGGGCGCAAGCCUGAUCCAGCCAUACCGCGUGGGUGAAGAAGGCCUUCGGGUUGUAAAGCCCUUUUGUUGGGAAAGAAAAGCAGCAGGUUAAUACCCCGCUGUUCUGACGGUACCCAAAGAAUAAGCACCGGCUAACUUCGUG
Molecule: ribosomal RNA, 491 nt
Filed under: uncultured bacterium
Lineage: Bacteria
Description: partial 16S ribosomal RNA
Rfam family: Bacterial small subunit ribosomal RNA
Source: RNAcentral